Molecule: ribosomal RNA, 673 nt
Filed under: uncultured bacterium
Lineage: Bacteria
Description: bacterial SSU rRNA
Rfam family: Bacterial small subunit ribosomal RNA
Source: RNAcentral
GAGGCUAACACAUGCAGUCGAGCGCCCGUAGCAAUACGGGAGCGGCAGACGGGAGAGUAACACGUGGGAACGCGCCCUUCGGUUCGGAAUAACUCAGGGAAACUUGAGCUAAUACCGGAUACGCCCUUACGGGGAAAGAUUUAUUGCCGAAGGAACGGCCGCGUCCGAUUAGCUAGUUGGUGAGGUAAUGGCUCACCAAGGCGACGAUCGGUAGCUGGUCUGAGAGGAUGACCAGCCUCACUGGGACUGAGACACGGCCAGACUCCUACGGGAGGCAGCAGUGGGGAAUAUUGGACAAUGGGCGCAAGCCUGAUCCAGCCAUGCCGCGUGGAUGAUGAAGGCCCUAGGGUUGUAAAGUCCUUUUAACGGGGAAGAUAAUGACGGUACCCGUAGAAUAAGCCCCGGCUAACUUCGUGCCAGCAGCCGCGGUAAUACGGAGGGGGCUAGCGUUGCUCGGAAUUACUGGGCGUAAAGCGCACGUAGGCGGCUUUUUAAGUCGGAGGUGAAAUCCUGGAGCUCAACUCCAGAACUGCCUUCGAUACUGGAGAGCUCGAGUUCGGGAGAGGUGAGUGGAACUGGGAGUGUAGAGGUGAAAUUCGUAAGAUAUUCCGGCAAGGAAACAACCCAAGUGGGGCGAAAGGCGGGUUCAACUGGCCCGAAUACUGACGCUGAG